AAUAAAUUUAUUUCAUAAUGAAAAUUCAAGCUAAUGCCUAACAGUAAUUUUAUAUUAUUUUAAUAAAAAUAGUUUUACAGCAUACUAUUUUUAAUGAAUAUUUGCUACUGAUUUCUUAUGUCUUAUGCUAAGAUUAUUUGCUAAACAGUUGGCACAAAAUAUUCUUUUCACUCUUAGUUUUUCUUUAAUUUCCUUACUACUUUGAAGUCAUUACUCACAUGUACAUCCAUUUUGUGAUGUCCUAUACCAGGACUGUUCCCUGGAUCUGUCGGGGCGUAAGCAUAAAUAUUUUUCAAUAUUUUUGCUUGAAAAACUUCGAUACCUUCUUUAUGCCCAUCAACAUUAUGUCCCUCCGGUACCGUAGACACAAAGUUAUUCAAUGACAUCACUUUGAAAUGAUUUUUAUUUUCUGUUAUCUCCAACGGUCUUACUACUUUGAAGUCAUUACUCAGCUCUGGUGUAUGUACAUCCAUUUUGUGAUGUCCUAUACCAGGACUGUUCCCCGGAUCUGUCGGGGCGUAAGCAUAAAUAUUUUUCAAUAUUUUUGCUUGAAAAAGUUCGAUACCUUCCUUAUGCUCAUCAACAUUGUGUCCAACCGGUACCGUAGACACAAAGUUAUUCAAUGAUGUGACUUUGAAAUGAUUUUUAUUUUCUGUUAUCUCCAACGGUCUUGCUUCAGUAGUGGAUGGUACUUGGACAAAUACUAUUGAGAUGGCCAUAAUGGUCAUCAUGGUGAUAGUGAAGAGUUUCAUAGUCUUUCCACUUUGAAGAAGAUACAGGGCUAAAGGUUUUGAUAUGAGCAGUUAUGGUGAUAUUUGGAUUAAGUUGUCCAAAUGAGAUUAUAUUUAUACUGUAUAGACACUAGCCAAAUUGAUUGAGUUUGGAUCGGCCAUUCCCUUUUUUGGUCAAAUACAUUGAUAUUGGGUGGAACACAUUGAUAUUUUCUUGUCAAAAAUCUUGAUUUUUUAUUUUGUUCAACUAUACUGAGAUCUCUUACUAUUUUUGGACAUUUUUCAUUUUGGCCAUUGUUUUUUCAAUUAUGGUAGGUAGAUUUUGGACAUUCUAUCUAUCAAUCUAAGCACACUAUUAAUGAUAAUUAAAUAUACUAGAGAUUUUGUCCGGGCUACGCCCGGGUUUAUUCAAAUAAUAUUACUAUAUAUUACUUCUAUGUUAUAAAAAUAUAAAUAGAAAUUGAAUUACAAAUGAGUAAAAUUACAAUUUUUUUUAAAUCUAAACUAUGUAUGGAAUGGUGAACAAAUGCGAAAUAAAUAAAGAAUUUGUUAAACCUUAGCUAUUAUCCAAAAUAUCUUUUCUUACAUAUUUAGGUUAUUUAGAAAAUAUAUUUGUAAUCUCCACAUCACAUAUUUCUUUGUUUAAAUAAUCUAAUUGAAUUUAAAUUAUUCAUUUGAAGAGAACGUAAAAAAAUUUCAUCCCAGAUGAAUAUUUAUCUCUAAAAGAAAUAAUUUUUUUGAAUAUUUAAACAUUUUAAACUUUGAUGAUCAAUAAACUUGAUAUUGUGAUCUUCAAAUCUUGAAGCCAAAUUUUAUUUUGAAUAUGUAAAUUUAUUUGCUAUUUAAUAUGUAAGUUUAUCUAUUAUAUAAAACAUCUGUAAAAUAUCUUAGUAUGAAAUGUUUAGGGACUAACUACUUACACACACGUAAAAUAUAUUGGUAUCGUGUAGGUACUAUGUAUUCUAUAUUUUUGGUCUGAAUGUUCCAUCCUUGGCUUCUUUUCUUUCUGAUACAUACUAAAUAGUUAUAUACUCUGUGAUAAGAACCAUCAACGAAUGCACAAAUGUGUCAUAAAACUAUCUGGCUCAAACUUUGCAUUAAUUUUCAACAGACUCAAUCAAAUACUUUCCAUGAAGAAUGCAUAUAAAAACUUAUAAUAUUAUACAACAAAUAAUUGACUCACCUUUCUUGUUAUGCAUAUAAUAAGCAUCAUCUUGUUGACUUAUUGACUCUCUGGGAGCACAACAAAGCUCAGGAAGCAGAUUUUGUAUCAGUACUGAGCUCCAAGAGCUUGUCUCUAAUAGUAUGGAAUUCUUGAGUCUUUUUAGAUCUUCUUCAUUAACAUGUAUACCUGGCAAAGAUUCCAUACAUUUCUCGAUAUUCUCCACUUCACUAUCCUUAGAAUGUAACCCUCAUGGUUUUCUGCAUUUGUUGGGAAGCAAAAAGACCUGACACAUCAACUCAAAGAUCUUGUCCACUAUUAACAUAGUAUUUCUUCUAAUCCACUAUCCCUUUUUUCAAUACCUUGUUUCAGAUACCGUUCUCAAGAACCCAUACGUUCAUGUUUCCGUCCAUUCUUUGAAUCUCCUUUCUCAGAACGACCAGGUUCACCCAUGCUUUUAUCAUUUCCUUUAGCAGCGUCCUCAACAUUUUCUGUUAAAUCAACGGGCUCAUUAAGUUCUAUAGAUUCUCUAUAGAUGGCUUUAGCAUCUUCAACAACAGCUUUGACAGAGCGUGUUCUUCUGACUCUGGCUUUCCCUCUCAUGCGUGAUUGACCAUGAGCAGCUAUAUUAGACAAAGAAUCUACAUCAACUUCUUGACACUUGCUGUUGAUUUUGCUGUGAUCACCGUCUGAGUUCGCAUUGGCGACUUCAACUUCUCUGGUGUCGCUUUCAGAUUGGACCUGAAGCAUACUUCAAAGAUUCUUAAGUUGUCCCCAAUAAAAAUGGUAGAAUUUGGAUCAUCAACCAGAUGUAGAAAGAAAAAAGAAUGAGUUGAUCAUAUAUCUUCACUGGCUAGACUCAGAAUAUAAAAGACGACAAAGAAAGAAAGGAACUUGUUGACCUUGGUGCCAAACUUAACUUGCACAAUUGGAGGGACUGAGAUGUUAAAAUCACAGUGGAGAGAGUCUUCUUGGAUAUUCCCUUUACUCACUCACAAUCCAUUGCAUCUCACUGGUGUAUUACGUGCCUCCGAUCCCACUUCUCGUAUCAAGUUAAUAUUCCAUCUCGAGCAAAGGAACUCCUGCUCUGUUCAAAUCUACAUGCACCAUAAGGUUACCAAACAUAAAGAAACAAAAACAUCUUUGCAGGUCAUUGAAACCCAUAAAACCUAUUGUAUUUUCUUGAUCUCAUGGCUAAGCAUCACUGCAUGUUUUUUUUUGUGGCUUCUUCCAGACUUACCAUUUUUGCAGAUGAUGAUGAAUCUCCUCUAUUUGCUGUUUUAUUCCUGCAACAAUGUAACACGUUUCUCUAAAGACCGAACCUCAAAUGUAGAGUUCUAUGGCUAGCACUCAGUCUCACCAAUCACACCUUCUGUAUGCGUAGAAUCAGGGAUAGGAGAGAUCUGAGCCACAUAACCAACAUGAACUUGAAAAUUGACGUCUCCAAAGUUUUCUGUUAAAGUACAAAUUAAAAAGUGGGAAAUUUUAAACUUUAAGACACAAACUUCGCCACAGCCAACACAGAUUUUGGAACUACCCCGUGAUCUAGACAUGAUUCAUCAGUUUGGUCUAGCGUUUUCUUAAAUCCGGAACAGUGGCUUGUACCAUAAUCUAACAAUCACAAUGAAAUCAAUCUUCAACUAAAAGAAGACCAGGAAAGAGGAGAAUAAGGAAGUAGUAGGGUACCUCUUUGGAGUCGUGGAGACAAUUGAAGUAAUCUUCAAGAAGAAGAGAGAUGUACUUCGGAUCUCUACAGUAAGACAUCAUUCACUGAAUUCCAUCCAGAAAUCAUAUCUCCCUUCCCAACUCCUUUUCUCGAAGGAGAUUACAGAGAGAAUGAUGCUGGGAAGAAGAAUUGAUCUGAAGGAUAAAUACAUGAUCCAAAUAAUUUAAGGAAAAUGAAUCUUCGUGUUGACAAAGAGAUGAGAAUUAGAAACGUAAAGCAUUUAUUAAAACAGAUGAAAUUUAUGAUGAUUUCUAGAUCAGACGGUAGCGCAACUGGGUUUCGUGGGGACCUGGUGAGAUAUCUUUGAAGAACAUAACUUCCUGAUCAUUGCCCGAGGAGACAGGUGACUUGCCGUUUGGUUUCAUGGCCAUGGUUUUGGUUUGUAGUAAGUGAAGAAAAACAAUAUAUAAAGGAGAAAAAGAAAAAGAGGGAGAUGAAACGAAUUCAUUAAGAGAGAGUAUUGAUUGACAUGAGUAAAGAAGAGAAUUGAUUGAUAAGAAGUGGAUCGAUUAGAACUGAGUGAGUUUGUAUGAUCUUCAAUCGGAGAAGACGAAGUGGUGGAGGUUAGUUGAUACGAUUGAUGCAUCAUUCCUAGGUUUGGGUUUCUGAAUAAGCUCAUACGUUGAAGCCCACAUGAAGAAGGGAAUGGAUCAAUAUGGGCUUAAGGCUAAAUAACACUUCUUACACGGUUAAGCGCAUCACUGCAUGUUUUUUUUUGUGGCUUCUUCCAGACUUACCAUUUUUGCAGAUGAUGAUGAAUCUCCUCUAUUUGCUGUUUUAUUCCUGCAACAAUGUAACACGUUUCUCUAAAGACCGAACCUCAAAUGUAGAGUUCUAUGGCUAGCACUCAGUCUCACCAAUCACACCUUCUGUAUGCGUAGAAUCAGGGAUAGGAGAGAUCUGAGCCACAUAACCAACAUGAACUUGAAAAUUGACGUCUCCAAAGUUUUCUGUUAAAGUACAAAUUAAAAAGUGGGAAAUUUUAAACUUUAAGACACAAACUUCGCCACAGCCAACACAGAUUUUGGAACUACCCCGUGAUCUAGACAUGAUUCAUCAGUUUGGUCUAGCGUUUUCUUAAAUCCGGAACAGUGGCUUGUACCAUAAUCUAACAAUCACAAUGAAAUCAAUCUUCAACUAAAAGAAGACCAGGAAAGAGGAGAAUAAGGAAGUAGUAGGGUACCUCUUUGGAGUCGUGGAGACAAUUGAAGUAAUCUUCAAGAAGAAGAGAGAUGUACUUCGGAUCUCUACAGUAAGACAUCAUUCACUGAAUUCCAUCCAGAAAUCAUAUCUCCCUUCCCAACUCCUUUUCUCGAAGGAGAUUACAGAGAGAAUGAUGCUGGGAAGAAGAAUUGAUCUGAAGGAUAAAUACAUGAUCCAAAUAAUUUAAGGAAAAUGAAUCUUCGUGUUGACAAAGAGAUGAGAAUUAGAAACGUAAAGCAUUUAUUAAAACAGAUGAAAUUUAUGAUGAUUUCUAGAUCAGACGGUAGCGCAACUGGGUUUCGUGGGGACCUGGUGAGAUAUCUUUGAAGAACAUAACUUCCUGAUCAUUGCCCGAGGAGACAGGUGACUUGCCGUUUGGUUUCAUGGCCAUGGUUUUGGUUUGUAGUAAGUGAAGAAAAACAAUAUAUAAAGGAGAAAAAGAAAAAGAGGGAGAUGAAACGAAUUCAUUAAGAGAGAGUAUUGAUUGACAUGAGUAAAGAAGAGAAUUGAUUGAUAAGAAGUGGAUCGAUUAGAACUGAGUGAGUUUGUAUGAUCUUCAAUCGGAGAAGACGAAGUGGUGGAGGUUAGUUGAUACGAUUGAUGCAUCAUUCCUAGGUUUGGGUUUCUGAAUAAGCUCAUACGUUGAAGCCCACAUGAAGAAGGGAAUGGAUCAAUAUGGGCUUAAGGCUAAAUAACACUUCUUACACGGUUAAGCUUAUCCGAUGUGUCAAAACACAGGUUCAUGAUUGGUCCGAAUUUUUUAUCCAACGUGGACAGUCUCUAUACCUAGCUUAUUUUACUUUUAGUAUAGUAUAGAUUGUAUAAAUAAUAAAAAAAUAUAUUAAUGAAUUUCAAAGGCAAUAUUUCAACUGCUUCCAUCAUUUUUCUCCUUUUUAAUUGUUUUUUUUUGUGUGGCUCACAAGAGAGCAAAACACAUCACACUCACAUUCUAAGCUACACUAGAGAUUGAUCCGCACACCCAUACGGGUGUUGAAUUUUAUUUUUUUAUAAAUUGAUAUUCAUUUUUCAUAAUUAAUGUUAAGUAUUUUAUGUGUCACCACCAUAUAAAUAAUUUUAUCUUGGUUAUUUGAAUAUUUUAGGUUCCUAUACAUUAGAAUCAAAUCAAAUAGUAUGAUUAAUUUUCCUUAUUUGGUUAUUUUAGGUUAUUCUUAGUUUUGAUACAAAAUAGCAGAACUGAAUUGGAUAAUAUGGUUACUUUUGGUAUAAAUAUCCAAACUCAUUUCAGAUACAUUAGUGUUUUUAUAAUUUAAUUUCAUAUUUAUUAGAACCAAAUCUAUCUGGACUUGAGAGGACCCAACUCGAAACGUAUCGAAAUUUUAUAAUACUCCAACGAAGUUUAACUUCAAAACUCAAAAAACAUGAUAUCCAGAAAAAUGAUAUGUAACGAAACGGAUACUCAAAUAUACAUACCUAACUAAUUUCGUAAAUAAAUUAAAAAACUCUUUCUUAACCGUUUUAAAUUCUUGUCACAAAUAGAAAAAUUUCAAUCAAACAUGUCAAAUUAUUAUGGUUAACAUGAAAAAUUAAUGUUGUCGAAUUAUUAUAGUAAAAACAAUUAAUGAAAUAGUUAAUAAUAGUGAAAGAGAGAAUGUAAAAAUAUAAUAAAACACUUAAAAUAGGUCAUUCUGUUUCGUAAUUCCGUAAAAAUGCUGUCUGAUUAUUUAGAAAAAAUAAUAAUAAACAAAGUGGUUCUAAUUAGUUAAAAGAAUGAAAAUCUGUAAGAAAUCACUUAAAAAUAAGAAUGUAUUGUUUGGUAUUUCAGUUUUAAUAGAAUAGAUUAUUAUUAACCAAACUUUCUAACUGGUUAAACCAAACAAAAAUCUAAUUUUAAUCAAACUCGGGUUAUUUAUCCAUUUAUUAUUUUCUUCUUCACUAGAUUUGUGAAAGAAGAACGUGAUCCGCAGGUCGUGUCCAAACAGUUCAAUAGCAGAACGGGUGUGUACAUAUUUAUACAACCUACAAUUUGUUGUGGGACGACCACACAUACAAAAAGAAAAUCAAUUCUAAUAUGGGUUGGAAUACUUGAACGCGGACUAGUACGCUUGAAAUUUCUUAAACCAAGAAUUUAGACGGAAAAAUAGUAAUAUACAAAAUAUCUAUAUAUAUAAUAUAUAUAUAUCCAUAAAUAUUUUUUUAAACUCUGAACUGAUUAAAAUAGAAAUGAAAAAUAUAGAAAAACAAGAACAUACAAGACACCAAAAGAAAAUCACAAAUCAUAUCUGUACAAGACAAAUGAGGUUUUAUUGUUCUUUUAGAGACUAGAAUAUAAUUCUAUGAGAAAAAAAAGAAGCAAAUUUUCGAAGCAAAUAUUUAAUACAUUUACAUUUUCGUAAUUUGUAUCAGGUAAUUUCAUAGGUUUAUGGAAGAUCUUUACAUUUUGUUUCUAAAUUAUUUGUAAUUAUUCUUACUUAUUUUAAUUUGUGAACAUAAAUAAAUAAUUGAAAUAAAAAAGAUUAUUGUAAUUUUGAUUUUCUAUUACUUUUUAUUAUUUUUUUUAAGUGAAAGUUUUUCAAAAAAAUACAAAUCGUUUCCACAGAAAAUUCCAUGAUUUUUUUUUAUGAGUCACAUUCAUUGUAAAUUGAAGGCAAAUUGAAAUGUCUCACAUCUCUAUUCUUCACCUGUCGCAUAAGCUAGUUAGCAAGGGAUUUACCUUUUUCAUUAGCUUUGUUAAAAAAAAAUUCAACAUGCUUGGUAAUGACUUAAGUAUGUGACAUAAGAAAAAUAAUAAUCAUAAGCAUGCCUAAACGAAUAAAAGAAUAGAAGAUUAUAAAAAUCAAUUCCAAGAUCAGAGAACUGAGAAUGACUGUCCUCUGAGUUGGCUCACCAUGACUAGCCCAAGUUUAUUCAUAUGUGUAAUUCCAUUGUGAAAAUAGAAAACAUCGUAGUUUACAAAAAAAAAACACAUAGUCCGAGUUCAAAUAUAUAUCGUAAUCUCAGCAAACAUAGGGCACAUCACAGGGAAGAGGAAAUAUAAAAUAACAUCAAAGACUAGUUAAGGUUUAAUUUAUUAGAUUUGAGUAUUUAUUUUAAUUAGAUUUAUCAAAAAUAAAUAAAUUAUUGAUGCUAUUACAAAUAAUAGUAAUUGUGAUAGAAAAAAAUAUUUUUAUAAUUUUAUAAAGUGAUAGUAUAAAAGGUGUAUUUCUAACAAAUUAUCUUAACGCAUAUAGUUAUAGAACUCUAAAUAACAACUUUAACAUUUAUCCAAAAUUUAACAUCUUUAUAUUGCAAAUUUUGAUUUAACAACAAAUUUAUUUCAUAAUGAAAAUUCAAGCUAAUUCCCAACAGUAAUUUUAUAUUAUUUUAAUAAAAAUAGUUUUACAUCAUAUUAUUUUUAAUGAAUAUUUGCUACUGAUUUCUUAUGUCUUAUGCUAAGAUUAUUCGCUAAACAGUUGGCACAAAAUAUUUUUUUCACUCUUAGUUUUUCUUCAAUUUUCUUACUACUUUGAAGUCAUUACUCAGCGCUGGUGCAUGUACAUCCAUUUUGUGAUGUCCUAUACCAGGACUGUUCCCUGGAUCUGUCGGAGCGUAAGCAUAAAUAUUUUUCAAUAUUUUUGCUUGAAAAACUUCGAUACCUUCCUUAUGUCCAUCAACAUUAUGUCCCUCCGGUACCGUAGACACAAAGUUAUUCAAUGACAUGACUUUGAAAUGAUUUUUAUUUUCUGUUAUCUCCAACGGUCUUACUACUUUGAAGUUAUUACUCAGCUCUGGUGCAUGUACAUCCAUUUUGUGAUGUCCUUUACCAGGACUGUUCCCCGGAUCUGUCGGGGCGUAAUCAUAAAUAUUUUUCAAUAUUUUUUCUUGAAAAAGUUCGAUACCUUCCUUAUGCCCAUCAACAUUGUGUCCAACCGGUAUCGUAGACACAAAGUUAUUCAAUGACGUAACUUUGAAAUGAUUUUUAUUUUCUGUUAUCUCCAACGGUCUUGCUUCAGUAGUGGAUGGUACUUGGACAAAUACUAUUGAGAUGGCCAUAAUGGUCAUCAUGGUGAUAGUGAAGAGUUUCAUAGUCUUUCCACUCUGAAGAAGAUACAAGGCUAAAGGUUUUGAUAUGAGCAGUUAUGGUGAUAUUUGGAUUAAGUUGUCCAACUGAGAUUAUAUUUAUACUGUAUAGACACUAGCCAAAUUGAUUGAGUUUGGAUCGGCC
Molecule: long non-coding RNA, 8984 nt
Filed under: Brassica napus (rape)
Lineage: Eukaryota; Viridiplantae; Streptophyta; Magnoliopsida; Brassicales; Brassicaceae
Description: long non-coding RNA (BNAP_LNC006554)
Source: RNAcentral